RNAcentral lists this long non-coding RNA (235 nucleotides) under Theobroma cacao (cacao). RNAcentral describes it as "long non-coding RNA (TCAC_LNC001953)". The record is from RNAcentral. Lineage: Eukaryota; Viridiplantae; Streptophyta; Magnoliopsida; Malvales; Malvaceae.
GCAUGGGCCCAAUGGACGUAGUCCACUAAGCUCAAGCAAGCCUAUUAAUCUGACAUGUUCAUCAUUCCAUCAUAAACUGCUAAGUCAUAUAUCAUAACUUAGAAUCAAAAUAAUAUUAAGCAUUGCCACUUCAUACUGGCAUACCAAACAGGUGUAUAUACACUGUCUACACAUGUAUCUUAAUAAUUCACAUUAAGUUCGUCUAUACACAACAAAAGGAGACUCGAUGUCCAGU